CCAAGGAGUCUAACAUGUGCGCGAGUCAUGGGGUUCUGCGAAACCUAAAGGCGCAAUGAAAGUGAAGGCCGCCUCGGGUUGGCCUAGGUAGGAUCCCCGUCCUCCCAGGAAGGGGCGCACUACCGGCCCGUCUCGAUCUCGCCGUAGAUGAGGCGGAGCAAGAGCGUACACGUUGGGACCCGAAAGAUGGUGAACUAUGCUUGAGUAGGACGAAGCCAGAGGAAACUCUGGUGGAGGUCCGUAGCGAUUCUGACGUGCAAAUCGAUCGUCAAACUUGGGUAUAGGGGCGAAAGACUAAUCGAACCAUCUA
This 310-nucleotide ribosomal RNA is filed under the name Cardites antiquatus. Its description in RNAcentral is "eukaryotic LSU rRNA". It matches the Rfam family "Eukaryotic large subunit ribosomal RNA", at positions 666 to 946 of the family's 3401-position model. The record is from RNAcentral. Lineage: Eukaryota; Metazoa; Mollusca; Bivalvia; Carditida; Carditidae.